AGAGUUUGAUCCUGGCUCAGGACGAACGCUGGCGGCGUGCUUAAUGAAUGCGAGUCGAACGGAACGCGGUUUUCGCAGUAGCCUUCGGGCUGCUGCCUUCCGCGUUUAGUGGCAAACGGGUGAGUAACACGUGGGUAACGUGCCUCCAGGCCGAGGAUAACAGGACGAAAGCCCUGCUAAUACUCGAUAGGCUGCCCCUGCUCUGGCAGGGACCAGUAAAGCUCCGGCGCCUGGAGAUCGGCCCGCGGUCCAUUAGCUCGUUGGUGAGGUAACGGCUCACCAAGGCGACAAUGGAUAGCUGGUCUGAGAGGACGAUCAGCCACACUGGGACUGAGACAUGGUCCAGACUCCUACGGGAGUUAGCAUCCGGGAAUCUUGCACAAUGGGCGCAAGCCUGAUGCAGCGACGCCGCGUGGGUGAUGAAGGUCUGCGGAUCGUAAAGCCCUGUCAGGAGGGAAGACACCCGACUGUACCUCCAAAGGAAGCCCCGGCUAACUACGUGCCAGCAGCCGCGGUAAAACGUAGGGGGCUAGCGUUGUCCGGAAUUACUGGGCGUAAAGGGCACGCAGGCGGUCUGGAAAGCGGUGGGUGCAAUCUCGAGGCUCAACCUCGAAACUGCUUGCCGAACUACCAGACUAGAGCACGGGAGAGGACAGUGGAAUUCCCGGUGUAGCGGUGGAAUGCGUA
Molecule: ribosomal RNA, 687 nt
Filed under: uncultured bacterium
Lineage: Bacteria
Description: bacterial SSU rRNA
Rfam family: Bacterial small subunit ribosomal RNA
Source: RNAcentral